RNAcentral lists this ribosomal RNA (253 nucleotides) under uncultured bacterium. RNAcentral describes it as "partial 16S ribosomal RNA". It matches the Rfam family "Bacterial small subunit ribosomal RNA", at positions 524 to 776 of the family's 1533-position model. The record is from RNAcentral.
UACGAAGGGGGCUAGCGUUGUUCGGAAUUACUGGGCGUAAAGGGCGCGUAGGCGGCCGCUCAAGUCAGAUGUGAAAGUCCUGGGCUUAACCUGGGGACUGCAUUUGAUACUGAAUGGCUUGAAUUCGGGAGAGGAUAGCGGAAUUCCCAGUGUAGAGGUGAAAUUCGUAGAUAUUGGGAAGAACACCGGUGGCGAAGGCGGCUAUCUGGACCGACAUUGACGCUGAGGCGCGAAAGCGUGGGGAGCAAACAGG